GACGAACGCUGGCGGCGUGCUUAACACAUGCAAGUCGAACGGAAAGGCCCAGCUUGCUGGGUGCUCGAGUGGCGAACGGGUGAGUAACACGUGGGUGAUCUGCCUCUAACUUCGGGAUAAGCUUGGGAAACUGGGUCUAAUACCGGAUAGGACAAUCGUUUAGUGUCGGUUGUGGAAAGUUUUUUCGGUUAGGGAUGAGCCCGCGGCCUAUCAGCUUGUUGGUGGGGUAAUGGCCUACCAAGGCGUCGACGGGUAGCCGGCCUGAGAGGGUGGACGGCCACAUUGGGACUGAGAUACGGCCCAGACUCCUACGGAAGGCAGCAGUGGGGAAUAUUGCACAAUGGGCGCAAGCCUGAUGCAGCGACGCCGCGUGGGGGAUGACGGCCUUCGGGUUGUAAACCUCUUUCGACAGGGACGAAGCUUUGGUGACGGUACCUGUAUAAGAAGCACCGGCUAACUACGUG
Molecule: ribosomal RNA, 464 nt
Filed under: uncultured bacterium
Lineage: Bacteria
Description: partial 16S ribosomal RNA
Rfam family: Bacterial small subunit ribosomal RNA
Source: RNAcentral